UUGACCUCAAAUCAGGUAGGACUACCCGCUGAACUUAAGCAUAUCAAUAAGCGGAGGAAAAGAAACUAACAAGGAUUCCCCUAGUAACUGCGAGUGAAGCGGGAAAAGCUCAAAUUUAAAAUCUGGCGGUCUUGCGGCCGUCCGAGUUGUAAUCUGGAGAAGCGUUUAUCCGCGUCGGACCGUGUACAAGUCUUCUGGAAGGGAGCGUCGUAGAGGGUGAGAAUCCCGUCUUUGACACGGACAACC
RNAcentral lists this ribosomal RNA (246 nucleotides) under uncultured Piloderma. RNAcentral describes it as "partial 28S ribosomal RNA". It matches the Rfam family "Eukaryotic large subunit ribosomal RNA", at positions 1 to 237 of the family's 3401-position model. The record is from RNAcentral. Lineage: Eukaryota; Fungi; Basidiomycota; Agaricomycetes; Atheliales; Atheliaceae.